AGAGUUUGAUCCUGGCUCAGGACGAACGCUGGCGGCGCGCCUAACACAUGCAAGUCGAACGAGCGAGAGAGAGCUUGCUUUCUCGAGCGAGUGGCGAACGGGUGAGUAACGCGUGAGGAACCUGCCUCAAAGAGGGGGACAACAGUUGGAAACGACUGCUAAUACCGCAUAAGCCCACGGCUCGGCAUCGAGCAGAGGGAAAAGGGCAAUCCGCUUUGAGAUGGCCUCGCGUCCGAUUAGCUAGUUGGUGAGGUAACGGCCACCAAGGCAACGAUCGGUAGCCGGACUGAGAGGUUGAACGGCCACAUUGGGACUGAGACACGGCCCAGACCUCCGUACGGGAGGCA
This 347-nucleotide ribosomal RNA is filed under the name uncultured bacterium. RNAcentral describes it as "bacterial SSU rRNA". It matches the Rfam family "Bacterial small subunit ribosomal RNA", at positions 8 to 350 of the family's 1533-position model. The record is from RNAcentral.